GCGCUCCUCGAGGGGCAGGAGGUCCCCGCGGGGCAGCGCGGGGUCGCAGGAGGCGCUGGGGGCGGCCACGUAGAGCGGGACCCCGUGGUGCCGCGCCGCCAGCGCCAGCGCGUACGUCCCGAUCUUGUUGGCCGUGUCCCCGUUGGCGGCCACGCGGUCGGCGCCCACCACCACGGCUGGGGGGGGGACACGGGGAGGGGGGGGGGUGAGACCCCCGACCCGGGCUCGGCCGGGCCCACGAACCCCGGCCCCGGGGCCCCGUAACAGCCCCGGCCCUCCCGCCCCGCCGUGUCCCAGCCGCCACGGCCCCGUCCCACGGCCCCGUCCCCAUCAUCCCAUGUCCCCAUUCCCAUCCCAUGUCCCCAUCCCAUGUCCCUGUCCCCAUCCCCUUGUCCCCAUCCCCAUCCCACAUCCCCAUUCCCUUGUCCCUAUCCCAUGGCCCUGUCCCCAUGUCCCCAUCCCACAUCCCUGUCCCCACCCCACGUCCCCAUUCCCUUGUCCCUAUCCCACGCCUCCAUGUCCCUGUCCCCAUGCCAUGCCCGUCCCCAUCCCAUGUCCCUGUACCCAUGUCCCCGUCCCCAUCCCCUUGUCCCUAUCCCACAUCCCCAUGCCCCUGUCCCCAGCCCACGGCCCCAUCCCCAUGUCCCCAUCCCAUGCCCGGCCCCAUCCCAGAUCCCUGUCCCCGUCCCCAUCCCCCUGUCCCCAUCCCUGUUCCCCUGUCCUCGUCAUCCCACAUCCCUGU
RNAcentral lists this long non-coding RNA (742 nucleotides) under Anser brachyrhynchus (Pink-footed goose). RNAcentral describes it as "lncRNA (ENSABRG00000013229.1)". The record is from RNAcentral. Lineage: Eukaryota; Metazoa; Chordata; Aves; Anseriformes; Anatidae.